GUUACUAUAAAAAAUAUAACUAUCUAUAAAUAUUAUCAAUAAUCAUUGAUAGCAGGAAAAGAAAUUGUUUCUAAAACAUAAAGGACUUGUAACUAUAUCUUAAUCCUCCUAUUAAUUAAAAAAUGAUACUCAUUGAAAAAUAAAUAUUGAUUAUUAUAUAUUAAUCAUUACAAAAGUCAACUCUAAAAAAAAGUAUUUCCCAUG
Molecule: long non-coding RNA, 204 nt
Filed under: Elaeis guineensis (African oil palm)
Lineage: Eukaryota; Viridiplantae; Streptophyta; Magnoliopsida; Arecales; Arecaceae
Description: long non-coding RNA (EGUI_LNC025574)
Source: RNAcentral